UGGGGAAUUUUGGACAAUGGGCGCAAGCCUGAUCCAGCAAUGCCGCGCGCAGGAUGAAGGCCUUCGGGUUGUAAACUGCUUUUGUACGGAACGAAAAGGCUCUGGUUAAUACCUGGGGCUCAUGACGGUACCGUAAGAAUAAGCACCGGCUAACUACGUGCCAGCAGCCGCGGUAAUACGUAGGGUGCAAGCGUUAAUCGGAAUUACUGGGCGUAAAGCGUGCGCAGGCGGUUAUGUAAGACAGAUGUGAAAUCCCCGGGCUCAACCUGGGACCUGCAUUUGCGACUGCAUAGCUAGAGUACGGCAGAGGGGGAUGGAAUUCCGCGUGUAGCAGUGAAAUGCGUAGAUAUGCGGAGGAACACCGAUGGCGAAGGCAAUCCCCUGGGCCUGUACUGACGCUCAUGCACGAAAGCGUGGGGAGCAAACA
Molecule: ribosomal RNA, 427 nt
Filed under: uncultured bacterium
Lineage: Bacteria
Description: bacterial SSU rRNA
Rfam family: Bacterial small subunit ribosomal RNA
Source: RNAcentral